GAUGUUGUUAAUAAUAAUAUCUUAGAAGAACAUGGUAUAUAACCUGAUGACUUUUCUAUUUCACUAAAAUUAGAUGAGGUGCUUGCACUAUUCACUGCACAGAGGCGUAAUCCUCCAAUAUGAAAAUAAAAAAAUAUAUAA
Molecule: ribozyme, 141 nt
Filed under: Xenopus laevis (African clawed frog)
Lineage: Eukaryota; Metazoa; Chordata; Amphibia; Anura; Pipidae
Description: Manganese dependent ribozyme in Vg1 mRNA
Rfam family: Manganese dependent ribozyme in Vg1 mRNA
Source: Rfam by way of RNAcentral